Molecule: long non-coding RNA, 702 nt
Filed under: Homo sapiens (human)
Lineage: Eukaryota; Metazoa; Chordata; Mammalia; Primates; Hominidae
Description: non-protein coding lnc-COX18-5:3
Source: RNAcentral
GCCUUUCUACAUUCUGUCAUGUGAAGACAGUGCUCCUCUCCUCUGCACGAAUCAGCAACAUGACACCAUCUUGGAAGCAGAGAGCAGCCCUAACCAGAUAACCAAAUCUGUUGGCACCGUUAUCUUAGAUUUCCCAGUCUCCAGAGCUGUGAGAAAAUUAAUUUCUGUUAUUUAUAAAUUAGUCUCCAGUAUUUGUUAUAGCAGCACAAAACAGAUGGACUAAGACAGACAUCUGAUGAGUUUAACACAGUACCUUGCACAUGAUGUCUUGAAAAAGCUUUCUGGGUUUAGACAUGGAAGAUUGGAAAUUGGAGGACAAGAAGCCUGGAUAUAGCUACCCCUCUCUUUUUCUCUGGAUUGGGGAGAGCCCCUUCUCGCAGUCUUGGCAGAAGCCACUGGAUUACUCAGUGAUUUUUUUUCCCAAAAUGAAAGGAAGAGGAGGAAGCCAGCUGCAGCUUUGACACUUGUAAUUGUACCCCAGGUAAUAGCAAUGGUUAUAUAUGAGCUGUUUAAGUUGAAAGCAACACAAGUCAUGCAAAUUGAAAAUAAAAAUCAGUCACAUCAAUUGAAAAUAAAAGAAAGGAGAGAAAUGUUUGCCAAAUGGAAAAAGGACACAUUAUGUAGAAUAAAUUAUUUCUAAUAGUCUAUGAAAAUAUAGCUAGCAAGCAAUGUGAAAUAAAAAUUUUAAAGUAUUUGGUGUAA